UGACCGGGAGACUUUCCUUGGGAAGAAAGUCACGAAUUGGUCUCACUAUCGUCUCAAAUUUGCCCGCCACUGGGUCCCCGACAGUGUGUGUG
RNAcentral lists this non-coding RNA (92 nucleotides) under unclassified sequences. Its description in RNAcentral is "Rhodo-rpoB RNA". It matches the Rfam family "Rhodo-rpoB RNA". The record is from RNAcentral.